Molecule: long non-coding RNA, 2100 nt
Filed under: Nicotiana tabacum (common tobacco)
Lineage: Eukaryota; Viridiplantae; Streptophyta; Magnoliopsida; Solanales; Solanaceae
Description: long non-coding RNA (NTAB_LNC006873)
Source: RNAcentral
UAUCCUAAAGCCCCUACCCCUCUCUAACUCGUCUCUCUCACCUCACUUCAUCAUCUUCAGAGAACACCUCUGCCGGCCCAAAAUUCCUACCAUCUCCGGUGGCGGCGCCACCUCUAACCGGCCCCAAAUUAACACUAUAGACUCCUCUUAUCAUCCCCUUUCCCGAUUCCUAACUACUUUCCCUCAAAUUCCCCUAACCUUCUUCGAAUAUUAAAUCGAAAUUCUGAACUCUAAUAUCCCAAAUCCCAAAAUCAACAAGUUUAAUGAAGGUUGAGGCGGAAAUUGACCUUAUUCAUGUGUUUUCGUUUGAGAACACACAAUUAAGGCCCAUUUCGGUCAAAAUCGAAGGCUCGAGGAGUAAUUUCAGGAUUUUGUCUGCCUGGUUCUUAGGUACUUUCAGCUUCUCUUCCUCUCUUUCAUUUUUUCUUCUUCUUUUUUCGUUUAAGUUCCAGUCUUCAUCUUCUCCUGCUUCGUCUUUUCUGUUUUGUUUUUCAUUUUGAAUCAGUUCUGCUCGUGUGUUUAAAAUUAAAGUUUGUUCAUGCAUGUCGUUUUAAUUUCUUUGUUCUUUUAUGUUAUUUCAUUUUUUCUGGUUUUUAAAGAAAUGAACUCUGAGUUUCUCUUGGUCAAUUCUAUCUAGCCCAGUAAUUCUAUAUGGGCUCUGUUAAUCAGAGACCUAAGGAAAAGGGACUCAAUACGGGUGGUAAGCCCAUUGGUUUGAGGCCGAACCUGGGUUCAAUUUGACCCAUAUCUAUUUGUUAUGUUGAAGUAAAUACAGAGGUCUUAAGGGUUAGUUUAGGAAUUCUAGGUUAGGGAAUCUCUUGUAACUGAAUGGGGAUGUUUCCUAGAAGGUGGGUUUGGGACUUCUUUGAAAAGCUGAUUUUUAAACUGAGGGUAUGAUAGCAAAAAUGAAAAUCUGAAAAGGAUAAAAUUGCAAAACUGAAUUCAUUUUUGGGCUGCACUAAGGCUUGCCUAUAAAGGAAUAGUUUCUUCUUUAGCAAGUCAGAUUUUGGAGAUAAAAAAAACACUAAAAAAGUGAAAAGAAACGGCAGAGUCUCUUUCAAGCUUUAAAACACUAAAAUUUUGUUGAAAUUUACUUUGGUUUCUGGGUUCUUUGUUUCUUUUGGUUCAUUAGAACUCCUGAAAAUUCAAAUUCGUGCGCCUGGGUAGAAAAUGGGUUGAGUUUGGGGUUUAAAAGUUUGGCUUGAGUUGCUGCUUUUGGGUUCUGUUUCAUUGCUGGUUCUAGGCUGAUUGCUACUGUUGUUGUUUGCUGAUUCUUCACUCUUUUUUGUUUCUCUUUUAAUUUUCAGGUAUUUCCUCUGAACCUUUGAAUGGAAAAUGAAGCUGUUAACGUGUCUUUUAUGUAUGGAAAAUCCGUGGUCUGUUUGAAAUGCAAUAACUCCACUGGUGUUUGAAGAUCAAUUUUUAUGUGUUUGCUUAAGUUUUUUAUUCUUUAGUUUUGUCUAUUUCUCCUACCUCUUUCUCAAAUGUCAUAGAUAUGUAGUAACAGAGGUUUUAGUAGUUUCAUAUGGAAGUAUUGAGUUUAUGCAAAACUUUAAAGCGUAACCAUGUUAAAUAGUGUAAUGUGGACUGUGUUAGAGCCUCUUUCUGCUAUGCAAUUCACCUGGACUGUCAUGGCAUAUUUUUUUGUAUUUAAAUAGUACUUGGUUUCAUGAAAUGGGUAAUUGACUAGAUCCUAAGCUAGUGGUCAGCUUUUACAGUUACUCUGGACAAGGAAAAUGGUUUGGUUUAUCACUUUAGGGGUUGAGCCAUGUAUAGAAUUACUCCUGGAUAUUUGUAAACAUGUUUAAUGUGAGAUUAUGGUUUAAAUUCGGCUUUGGUUUACUUAACAGUCUCAUGAAGUGUGAUUUUCUAUUAUAUGUAUUGAAAAGAGGCUCAAUUGAAGCUAAAAUUGCCUAUUGAGUUAGCUGGAAAUCGUUUGAACAUGAUUGCUGUGCAGUUUGUGUAUUGUUGAAAUCCAGUUGGGCUCAUGUUGAUGCUCUUAAUUUCUUUUGGAUACUUUUGCAUUCCAUGGAACUCGAUCUCGAGUCCAGCAUUCCCCAACCCCAAGUUCUUGAAAGAUUUGGGUUCAUUUAGGGCCCA